GACGAACGCUGGCGGCGUGCCUAAUACAUGCAAGUAGAACGCUGAAGAGAGGAGCUUGCUCUUCUUGGAUGAGUUGCGAACGGGUGAGUAACGCGUAGGUAACCUGCCUUGUAGCGGGGGAUAACUAUUGGAAACGAUAGCUAAUACCGCAUAACAAUGGAUGACACAUGUCAUUUAUUUGAAAGGGGCAAUUGCUCCACUACAAGAUGGACCUGCGUUGUAUUAGCUAGUAGGUGAGGUAAUGGCUCACCUAGGCGACGAUACAUAGCCGACCCGAGAGGGUGAUCGGCCACACUGGGACUGAGACACGGCCCAGACUCCUACGGGAGGCAGCAGUAGGGAAUCUUCGGCAAUGGGGGCAACCCUGACCGAGCAACGCCGCGUGAGUGAGGAAGGUUUUCGGAUCGUAAAGCUCUGUUGUAAGUCAAGAACGGGUGUGAGAGUGGAAAGUUCACACUGUGACGGUAGCUUACCAGAAAGGGACGGCUAACUACGUG
This 497-nucleotide ribosomal RNA is filed under the name uncultured bacterium. RNAcentral describes it as "partial 16S ribosomal RNA". It matches the Rfam family "Bacterial small subunit ribosomal RNA", at positions 28 to 507 of the family's 1533-position model. The record is from RNAcentral.